GAUGAAGAACGUAGCGAAAUGCGAUAAGUAAUGUGAAUUGCAGAAUUCAGUGAAUCAUCGAAUCUUUGAACGCACAUUGCGCCCGCCAGUAUUCUGGCGGGCAUGCCUGUCUGAGCGUCAUUUCAACCCUCAUGCCCCUAGGGCGUGGUGUUGGGGAUCGGCCAAAGCCCGCGAGGGACGGCCGGCCCCUAAAUCUAGUGGCGGACCCGUCGUGGCCUCCUCUGCGAAGUAGUGAUAUUCCGCAUCGGAGAGCGAUGAGCCCCUGCCGUUAAACCACCAACUUUCCAAGGUUGACCUCAGAUCAGGUAGGAAUACCCGCUGAACUUAAGCAUAUCAAUAAGCGGAGGA
Molecule: unclassified non-coding RNA, 348 nt
Filed under: soil metagenome
Description: partial contains 5.8S ribosomal RNA, internal transcribed spacer 2, and large subunit ribosomal RNA
Rfam family: 5.8S ribosomal RNA (bases 1-120)
Source: RNAcentral